GGGUUGUGAGGUUAAGCGACUAAGCGUACACGGUGGAUGCCCUGGCAGUCAGAGGCGAUGAAGGACGUGCUAAUCUGCGAUAAGCGUCGGUAAGGUGAUAUGAACCGUUAUAACCGGCGAUUUCCGAAUGGGGAAACCCAGUGUGUUUCGACACACUAUCAUUAACUGAAUCCAUAGGUUAAUGAGGCGAACCGGGGGAACUGAAACAUCUAAGUACCCCGAGGAAAAGAAAUCAACCGAGAUUCCCCCAGUAGCGGCGAGCGAACGGGGAGGAGCCCAGAGCCUGAAUCAGUGUGUGUGUUAGUGGAAGCGUCUGGAAAGGCGCGCGAUACAGGGUGACAGCCCCGUACACAAAAAUACACAUAUUGUGAGCUCGAUGAGUAGGGCGGGACACGUGGUAUCCUGUCUGAAUAUGGGGGGACCAUCCUCCAAGGCUAAAUACUCCUGACUGACCGAUAGUGAACCAGUACCUUGAGGAAAAGGCGAAAAAAACCCCGGCGAGGGGACUGAAAAAGAACCCGAAACCCGGUAGGUACAAACGGGGGGAG
This 548-nucleotide ribosomal RNA is filed under the name Shigella sonnei. RNAcentral's name for it is "partial 23S ribosomal RNA". It matches the Rfam family "Bacterial large subunit ribosomal RNA", at positions 1 to 579 of the family's 2925-position model. The record is from RNAcentral. Lineage: Bacteria; Pseudomonadati; Pseudomonadota; Gammaproteobacteria; Enterobacterales; Enterobacteriaceae.